RNAcentral lists this unclassified non-coding RNA (694 nucleotides) under Langbiangia annamensis. RNAcentral's name for it is "Primulina annamensis partial 165FR intergenic spacer". Lineage: Eukaryota; Viridiplantae; Streptophyta; Magnoliopsida; Lamiales; Gesneriaceae. The record is from RNAcentral.
CCAACCUCCGUAUUUUUCGUCCCUAAUAACAAACUCGCUUUCCCAUUACAAGUAUCUGAAAUUCCACAACAUGUCCCUCCCCUUGCGUAACCCUCCAAACCCUAGUCGCCACCCCGCGCUGCCGUUCGCCUCACCACAAUAUCUAUCCGAGUGGCUCAGGUCAUGGCUACCCUAUGAUUCAUUCGCUUCCUGGGGCGUCAAGUCAGGGACUAAGAAUGUUCAUAACCUCUGGCUCGAAAUUGCUGAAGGGGAGACGUCUUUAGCUGAUUCCACCACGCCGGUUCGGAAGGUUGAGGUUGUGAUAGUUCGCAUCAUCCGAAAUGACAAUAAAAUGCUCAUCGAAUCGCAUCAGGAGCUUUCAAACGGCGCCGUCAGGUACCGAUCCCGCCCCUUAUCUGAGAAAAUGAAGCCUGGAGAAUAUGUCGAGGCCGCUGUUUUUCGAGCAGUGAAAGUGGAGCUGGGCUCCAUCAUAAAGUCUACGGCUUGUGGAAACUCUAAUUUGGGGAAUCUUGAUAAUGAUCAUGAUUCUAACAAUAUCAGUGGCAUCAUAAAAAUUUUGCCUGGAUCAUAAUUAAAGAAGGUGGAGGAGAGGGUUUCGGCCUCGUAUCCUGGUCUACCAGCUUGUUACCUAUUGCAUACAGUAGAUGCUGAGGUAGAGGGCUUGCCAGAGGGCGAGUUUUCUACUGAGGAAGUG